This is a long non-coding RNA of Danio aesculapii, 834 nucleotides long. RefSeq lists it as uncharacterized. NCBI's taxonomy places the organism in Eukaryota, Metazoa, Chordata, Actinopteri, Cypriniformes, Danionidae. The record is from RefSeq and is a predicted model, not a curated record. The transcript has 3 exons.
AGCUACAGCAACAACAGCUGCCUAGAGAGGCUCCGUACUGUAGUCCAGUAAUUUGAGCGAGGGAAUGCUUCUCUUUUUUGUUUCCAGGGAGCAACGAGAGAUUUUUUUCCUGAAAUCGAGCACAAAAUCGAGGCGGUAGUUUCCUGGUGGAUGAAUGCUGCAGAAGCAAAAGACGAUGUCUAAUGACAACAAAUAGAGAAGUGGAGACUGAAGUGAGCUAGCAGGCUAAUGCGGCUAGCAUCUCAAGCCGAGAGGGGCGUCCGAAUGGAGGCGCGCUGUGGAAACGAUAUAUUUUUGUAUUAUUUUUUGAAAAAAUCCAGCAAAUACACGGAUACCGGGAAAAUUCUAUAAAAAAUCCGGAAAAUUAUAGCAGGCGACGACGAGUGGGUUGAUGUGGGUCGUUUGAUUGAGCGAGGUGGUUUUGUGCAUUUUUUAAACGUUAAGUUUGAGCGGGAUUGGUGAUGUGAGCGAGACGGCCGGCGAGCCCGAGAGCCUAUCAGAGAGCGAUACACCGGGAUGCCACACCGACCAACACUGCCCUAUUCUUUACUAGUUUUUGUUCCUCUUUUAACGUGAAAUAAAAAAGCAACGAUGACCAGAGUGCCUUUAGUUUUAUUUUUCGUUUUUUUUUGUUUACAUAUACAGUGCGCUCACAAUUUCUAUUUGCCAACUUUUUCUUUUUAUAUUUUUGGAUGGAUUAACAAACAUGACUGCUCAGGCGUUUUAGGAAUGGCUUGGUUGGGAUGUCAGAAACUAGAAAACAGUUCAAGAUAGAGUCCUGGAAUGCCUGAAGCCCUGCUGAGAGAAAGAGAGAGAGAAAGGAGGAGAGGACAG